UUAGCGAAGCUCUGCCUCGUUGUAAGUAUCAUAACCCCUGGAUACGUAUUAGAUACUCUGCCCGAUGGAUCUAGGGUUCCGUAACGGCUGUCGUGAUUAUAACCAGGAAGCCACAAAGGAAAUACCUAUAAUAACAAUGUAACACGAUGUGACAGCCAAAUUAGUAAAAAGCCAGCUGGAGAGCACUGACGGCUUGGAAAAAUGUGGCUAUAAAAGUUACCUAAAAUACGAUGUUUUAAAUUCAAUAAAGUAGGGUUUAUCCCUGUAAAUACGUUGUAAUAAGAAACUUGGGUUUUACCCAUGUGAUUAUUAAAAUAAAAUAUGGUGGUUUUACUCUGA
Molecule: long non-coding RNA, 339 nt
Filed under: Helianthus annuus (common sunflower)
Lineage: Eukaryota; Viridiplantae; Streptophyta; Magnoliopsida; Asterales; Asteraceae
Description: sRNA HanXRQr2_Chr04g0141161
Source: RNAcentral